This is a long non-coding RNA of Mustela erminea (ermine), 820 nucleotides long. RefSeq lists it as uncharacterized. The record is from RefSeq and is a predicted model, not a curated record. NCBI's taxonomy places the organism in Eukaryota, Metazoa, Chordata, Mammalia, Carnivora, Mustelidae. The transcript is spliced from 3 exons.
GAUUUGCAGAUAUUUUCUCCCCAUUCCAUGGGUUGUCUUUUCACCCUUUUGUGUCCUAUGAUUUACAAAAAAUAGUAAACUUUGAUGCAGUCCCAAUUUAUUUAUUUUCUUUUGUUGCCUGUGCUUUUGGUGGUGUAUCAAAGAAUUCAUUGCCAAAUUCUGUAUCGUGAAGAUUUUCCUCCAUGUCUUCUAAGAGUUCUAUAGUUUUAAGUUUUACAUUUAAAUCUUCGAUCCAUUUUAGUUAAUUUUUGGGUAUGAUAUAAAGGUCCAGGUUCAUUUCUUUACAUCUGGUUAUGGAGUUUUCCCAGCACCAUUUGUUUAAAAGAUAUAUGUUGUUUCAUUUUAUAUGCACGAUAAUCCUGGGAUGUGGCAUAACUGUUUUAUAGAUGAGAAAAGAGAAAUUAAAAUAUCCCUGAGGACACCCUAAAUGCCACCUCCUUUGUAACCUUGGUGUGCCAAAGGCAUAAAAGAAUAGGAAGAAGGGGGGAAAAAACCAAUUACGAUGUAAGGUGAGAAGAGGUUAAUGGAAAGAAAAGGAGGAGGGGGACAUGCAGCUAUCCCUGAGCAGGACUGAAAUGUGUUUAGGGUUCACUUGAGAGACCCUCUCCUGCCCUUUUUCUCUCCUCUGUCCUCCUCUGUCUGUGCUUCUCUGACUCUUUCAAGGUAACUCUGAGUUUGCUGUCUCUUUUGAAAUUCUUCUAAGAGGGUCCUUUAAAGUUUUUCCACAGUCUUUCCUCAGCAUGUUUUCUCAGCCUUAUCUGCUGUCAGUCCCUUCCUACCACUGUGACCUUGUCCUUGACACACUACUCUAGAAGCAGGC